RNAcentral lists this non-coding RNA (21 nucleotides) under Arabidopsis thaliana (thale cress). The record is from RNAcentral. Lineage: Eukaryota; Viridiplantae; Streptophyta; Magnoliopsida; Brassicales; Brassicaceae.
UUGGUGUGUCUGAGAUCUAUC